UAUGAAGGGGGCUAGCGUUGUUCGGAUUUACUGGGCGUAAAGCGCACGUAGGCGGAUCGUUAAGUCGGGGGUGAAAUCCUGGAGCUCAACUCCAGAACUGCCUUCGAUACUGGCGAUCUUGAGUCCGGAAGAGGUGAGUGGAACUCCUAGUGUAGAGGUGGAAUUCGUAGAUAUUAGGAAGAACACCAGUGGCGAAGGCGGCUCACUGGUCCGGUACUGACGCUGAGGUGCGAAAGCGUGGGGAGCAAACAGG
This 253-nucleotide ribosomal RNA is filed under the name uncultured bacterium. RNAcentral's name for it is "partial 16S ribosomal RNA". It matches the Rfam family "Bacterial small subunit ribosomal RNA", at positions 524 to 776 of the family's 1533-position model. The record is from RNAcentral.